UGUUUCGGUGCGGGCUGCGAGAGCGGUACCAAAUCGAGGCAAACUCUGAAUACCAUAGAGAAACUAGCCAGUGAGACGGUGGGGGAUAAGCUUCAUCGUCGAAAGGGAAACAGCCCAGACCACCAGCUAAGGUCCCCAAGUGGACACUAAGUGAUAAAGGAGGUGGGAGUGCCGAGACAACCAGGAGGUUUGCCUAGAAGCAGCCAUCCUUAAAAGAGUGCGUAAUAGCUCACUGGUCAAGCGCUCCCGCGCCGAAAAUGAACGGGGCUAAGUGUCCCACCGAAGCUGUGGACUUAGUUUUUAACUAAGUGGUAGAGGAGCGUUCUGCUCUAGGGUGAAGCACUAGCGGCAAGCAGGUGUGGACGAAGCAGAAGUGAGAAUGUCGGCUUAAGUAGCGAAAAUAUGUGUGAGAAUCACAUACCCCGAAAACCUAAGGGUUCCUCCGGCAGGCUCGUCCGCGGAGGGUUAGUCAGGACCUAAGGCGAGGCCGAAAGGCGUAGUCGAUGGACAACGGGUUAACAUUCCCGUACCCGAACAGACUGGUAGCGGAGGACGGAGAAGGCUAAGUCAGCCGGGUGAUGGUAGUCCCGGUUUAAGCGUUCAAAGGUGAUGACGGGUGGUGAAAACACCCUGAGCUAAGACGUGAACAGGACCGGCUACGGCUGGGAAGUGACCGAUGUCAUGCUUCCAAGAAAAGCCCGAACUACUGUAAAUCUGUUUGGCCUGUACCCGAAACCGACACAGGUAGGUAGGUUGAGUAAACCAAGGGGCGCGAGAUAACUCUCUCUAAGGAACUCGGCAAAAUGGCCCCGUAACU
This 817-nucleotide ribosomal RNA is filed under the name Geitlerinema sp. UTEX B SP31. RNAcentral describes it as "bacterial LSU rRNA". It matches the Rfam family "Bacterial large subunit ribosomal RNA", at positions 911 to 1735 of the family's 2925-position model. The record is from RNAcentral. Lineage: Bacteria; Bacillati; Cyanobacteriota; Cyanophyceae; Geitlerinematales; Geitlerinemataceae.